UGCCUCAGUAACGGCGAGUGAAGCGGCAAGAGCUCAAAUUUGAAAUCUGGCGUCUUUGGGCGUCCGAGUUGUAAUUUGUAGAGGAUGCUUUGGGCGCGACCACGGUCUAAGUUCGUUGGAACACGACGUCAUAGAGGGUGAGAAUCCCGUCUGGGCCCGUUGGUCAAGCCCGUGUAAAGCUCCUUCGACGAGUCGAGUUGUUUGGGAAUGCAGCUCAAAAUGGGUGGUAAAUUUCAUCUAAAGCUAAAUAUGGGCCAGAGACCGAUAGCGCACAAGUAGAGUGAUCGAAAGAUGAAAAGCACUUUGAAAAGAGAGUUAAACAGCAUGUGAAAUUGUUAAAAGGGAACCGCUUGCGACCAGACUUGGCUGCGGGGGCUCAACCGACGUUCUCGUCGGGGCACUCCUCCGUGGACAGGCCAGCAUCGGUUUGGGUAGUCGGUCAAAGGCUCUAGGAAUGUACCCUCCUCGGAGGACUUAUAGCCUGGGGUGCCACGCGACUCACCUGGACCGAGGAACGCGCUUCGGCUCGGAUGCUGGCGUAAUGGUCGUAAGCGACCCGUCUUGAAACACGGACCAAGGAGUCAACCAACUGUGCGAGUGUUUGGGUGUCAAACCCCGGCGCGCAAUGAAAGUGAACGGAGGUGGGAACCCUUGGGUGCACCAUCGACCGAUCCUGAUGUCUUCGGAUGGAUUUGAGUACGAGCAUAGCUGGUUGGACCCGAAAGAUGGUGAACUAUGCCUGAAUAGGGUGAAGCCAGAGGAAACUCUGGUGGAGGCUCGCAGCGGUUCUGACGUGCAAAUCGAUCGUCAAAUUUGGGUAUAGGGGCGAAAGACUAAUCGAACCAUC
This 847-nucleotide ribosomal RNA is filed under the name Caliciopsis maxima. RNAcentral's name for it is "partial 28S ribosomal RNA". It matches the Rfam family "Eukaryotic large subunit ribosomal RNA", at positions 76 to 944 of the family's 3401-position model. The record is from RNAcentral. Lineage: Eukaryota; Fungi; Ascomycota; Eurotiomycetes; Coryneliales; Coryneliaceae.